UACGGAGGGUGCAAGCGUUAUCCGGAUUUACUGGGCUUAAAGGGUGCGUAGGCGGCUAUGCAAGUCCGUGGUGAAAUCUCUGGGCUUAACCCGGAAACUGCCAUGGAUACUAUGUGUCUUGAAUGUUGUUGAGGUGAGCGGAAUAUGUCAUGUAGCGGUGAAAUGCUUAGAUAUGACAUAGAACACCAAUGGCGAAGGCAGCUCACUAAGCAAAUACUGACGCUGAGGCACGAAAGCGUGGGGAUCAAACAGG
RNAcentral lists this ribosomal RNA (253 nucleotides) under uncultured bacterium. Its description in RNAcentral is "partial 16S ribosomal RNA". It matches the Rfam family "Bacterial small subunit ribosomal RNA", at positions 524 to 776 of the family's 1533-position model. The record is from RNAcentral.